RNAcentral lists this ribosomal RNA (199 nucleotides) under uncultured bacterium. Its description in RNAcentral is "partial 16S ribosomal RNA". It matches the Rfam family "Bacterial small subunit ribosomal RNA", at positions 1302 to 1500 of the family's 1533-position model. The record is from RNAcentral.
AGGCUGCAACUCGCCUGCAUGAAGUCGGAAUUGCUAGUAAUCGCAGAUCAGCAUGCUGCGGUGAAUACGUUCCCGGGCCUUGUACACACCGCCCGUCACACCAUGGGAGUCGGCAACACCCGAAGUCGGUAGUCUAACCGAAAGGAGGACGCCGCCGAAGGUGGGAUUGAUGACUGGGGUGAAGUCGUAACAAGGUACC